CCGCGCCCGGCCUUCAUUGAUUUUAAGAUAUACUCUGAUCUUAAAGAUGCUACAGUGUGAAAAGUAAUCAUGUCUGAGAGUCAAUGAAAUGCAGAAUGAAUGGGUCAGAUGAAUCCAGCUGUUUGCCUUUGUUUGACUGACUUUUAGUCUUUGAUUUCAGAACUGUAGAAGAUUUGAAAAAUAAUGAAAGCCAAUGGAAAGAUUCCCCGCUGGCAACUAGACACCGUGAAAUGCUGAAGCGCUGUAAAACUCAGCUUAAGAAACUGGUACGUGAGC
Molecule: non-coding RNA, 276 nt
Organism: Microcebus murinus (gray mouse lemur)
Lineage: Eukaryota; Metazoa; Chordata; Mammalia; Primates; Cheirogaleidae
Source: RefSeq, a predicted model, not a curated record